AUGUUUUAAAUUGAAGACUUUACAAAUGCAUGCCGCUCGAUUCUUAACCGAUGUCCCGCAGUGGGCCUCAGUUACUAAGAUUAUCAGCAUCAUCAGCUCUGCCGGUGUCCACCGCGGCCAUGUGCAUAGAAAAAUUUAAAGGCUGCCGAUGCAGACCCAGCGAAGCCUGAUCUGCAUCUCUACAAAAUCCGCAGUUGUAUUUUCUCACGCUGGAACCCGAAGAUGUCCGAAGUUCACUGUUAACUUUUCUUACAACAAAUCUGCACAGUGCAAGGCAUUCAGCCAGCGUACUAACCAUGGCGACGAUCAAUUUUGACACCGACGCUGCUACAAAUGCUUCUACUGCUCGCACCUGUCAUCGGGCUUCAGGUCUCCACGCAAAAAGUGUAUAUAACGACCUCCACCUCAUGGUACGCCAGCCUUGACCAGCGGCCCAACUCGUCAUGAUUGUUCUCACUUUGACUUUCCUGCUUUACGUCGUCCUGCCCCUCCUUAGGAAAGCCUUUUCCAGGCUGUUCAGGAAAGCAAAAACAUCGACUGCAAAUGAAAGGCCAGCUUAAUUACACACUUGGGAAUUGCAGCAUCUAUCCCAUCUACUAGCAACACUUGUAAAGACUGGAUUAUAACUUUGCCAUAUGACGACAAAGUAGAGUCAGGCUGUUCACUGCUAUACAUGUUUUCCAUGGUCUACCAAUAAAGAAAGAUGUGCAAAAGCA
Molecule: long non-coding RNA, 716 nt
Organism: Dermacentor albipictus
Lineage: Eukaryota; Metazoa; Arthropoda; Arachnida; Ixodida; Ixodidae
Source: RefSeq, a predicted model, not a curated record